AGUGUUUGGUUCCAUUUGGAACUUUGCUUUGGACUGACCAAACUGAAGUGGGUUACCAGGACCACCAGGUCCACCCAUUCCACCACCAGAUCGUCUCGAAAGAAAGAACAAACCACCGAUCAAAAGCAGUGGGAAAGCAAGAUUACCAAUCAAGUUGAAUAACACAGAACCUUGAUCUUCCUGAGCAUUAUGAGCUGCAAAAUCAAUAUUCUUAGCCCUAAGCUUCUGGAGAAGCUCCUG
RNAcentral lists this long non-coding RNA (240 nucleotides) under Capsella grandiflora. RNAcentral's name for it is "long non-coding RNA (CGRA_LNC001033)". Lineage: Eukaryota; Viridiplantae; Streptophyta; Magnoliopsida; Brassicales; Brassicaceae. The record is from RNAcentral.